UUUUUUUUUUUUUUUUUUUUUUAAGCAAAACCACCCUGAAAAACAUUAUAAUAAUUAUCUGUAUUAUUUUUUUCACCUAGCAGAAUGUCUGAAGAAUAAUUAGUUUGUGGAUGCAGAACUAGAAGAUGUUAAGGAGAAACACAUUUUCUGAAAAGUAAUGCUGAAGGUCAUGUCCUCAAUGUAUUUGUGUAUUUCUUUCUAGCGCAACUGGGGGUGAAAUGACACAGGUCAAUAUUGGGAAUUCAUAUUGAAAUUCUUGCCUAACUCUUGUUUCUCUGAGUAUUCUGCUGAAUUCUUUGUGGCUGUCCACAGUGGCAGAAGGGAGCAAAUCCAUCGUCCUGCACCAGCCCUUGCAGAUGUGAAAUUUGCAGGUUCCACCAAAUGGUGGAUGUGUUGUUACAUGUGUUGCAUAUGUAUUGCAUAACACAUACAUGUAUAUGUAUUGUAUAACACAUAUAUUGUUAUCCCUGACUUUCCUGCACUGCAAUUUCCCCACUGGGAACUGGUAGGACCUUAUCUUUAAGGAUCAUCCCUGGAGGCCACUCAAGGGUAGUACCAUCAUGGCAAUGUAAUCUGGAUGCAUAUUCUUUUCUCUGGCUUAUUUCCAUGGUGCCAGUAAUAAUGUGCAUGGUCCUACUUACUCUGCUCUGUCCCUCUCUGUUUCAGGGGAGAAUAUGGCCCAGGGCAUCCUUCCGUUCCAUGUAUCAUGCUUCCAUUUCCCUUCACCCCACAGGAGAUGAAGAACUUCAGAUUGAUGGAAGAGCUGACCUGUUUUUGGUCUGUUAGUCUAAGAAGGUGCUACACAUCUGUGGCACCAGACCACUUCCACCACAGGCUCCUAGUAAGGAGAAAAUCUUGGACUUCACCAAGAAUAACUUAAAGCAGGAGAAACCAAAUGAUCACAAGAAGGAAGAAAUACUAAAACAAAAACAGACUCAGAGAAGCCCGUUGGUCAUCGUUAGGUUUUUCAGCUCUUCUAGUGCCAAGCUGUAGUGCUAGAUAUUUCUGAGGAGCUGUGUGCAGGCAGAAGGUCAGGAAUAACUGUGGGGGUUGGCACCGGCUGAGUUACAACAGUUCCCAUGAAAUACUUUGUCUUGCAGCCAGCUGUUUCCUGACA
RNAcentral lists this long non-coding RNA (1117 nucleotides) under Cairina moschata (Muscovy duck). RNAcentral's name for it is "domestica (muscovy Duck (domestic type)) lncRNA (ENSCMMG00000005502.1)". Lineage: Eukaryota; Metazoa; Chordata; Aves; Anseriformes; Anatidae. The record is from RNAcentral.